CGGUGCCAAGAGGCUUCAGGACUCGCCUACCCGUGCUAUGGACGAUUUACGUAAAGUUUUCCAGGUUCGGUGCGGGAAAGAAUCGGUCUGGUCGUCUGAGUUGGGGCUUGCACAAGCUUCUGUGGUCUUUCCUGAAAUGUAAGCCAGCCUGUAGGCUUUUUAGAGCUGAGUACAUCUUUCCUCAGAGUUCUACCACACAGGUAGAAAGGCAGGCACCAAAGACCAGCUCACUCGGACUAGUCUAAGCCAGUCUGGCAGGUGCUUUUUCCUGGCAAGUAGCCCAGGUCGAAGUCAAAGCCAGCUAAGCUCUGGGUGGGGCUUGCUUUGCAGAAACUAGACUUAUAUGGUAGGGAGAGGCGGGACACAUGACCUUAAAAGGAAUUUGCACCCUAGAGAAAGAGUCUUAGUGGCACCAAAGGCAGUUGCUUCCCAAGCUUAGGCUGGGAUCUUGAGGGCUGACCUCUGGUAGAAGGCUAUCUCACUGUGUGAUGGUCACAGGGACAGCAGGCGCGGUGUGUAAGGUCUAAUCCGAUUGAAUAGGCAGUACCACUAGAGGUAGCAAUUCGUUUUGGUGAACAUCUAGGUCCUUAAAGUGUUAGGGUGGGUGUGGGGAAACGAGGUGGGCGGGGACUAGACUGGACUCUGAGUCACUUGCCAGUGAUGAAUGGAUACAAAGCUCUGUCUAUACCUGGAAGAUAAUCACUAGGGACAUCAGUGACCAGAAUAGGAGAAAAACUCAAUUCUGGUCCUUUCUCUAUCCUCAAAAAAGGCAUUUGUGGUUCUUUGACUGGGAAAGCCCCCCCCCCCCCCACCAGGCUCGGUCAUUUGAAUACCUGGUUUCCAGUUGGAGGUACUAAUUGGGGGAUUGCGGAAAUGUAGUUUCGCUGGACAACCAAGUCACUGGGGCAGGCUUUGAGAGUUCAAAGACUCCCACCAUUCCUACUUUGCUCUCUGCUUCCUGCUUGUGGUUUGAGAUCUCAGCUAUCACCUUUCUACCAUGAUGGCGAUGACCUCUUACCCCUCUGGAACUGUAGGCUCAAAUACACACCUCUUUAUUU
RNAcentral lists this long non-coding RNA (1058 nucleotides) under Mus musculus (house mouse). RNAcentral describes it as "lincRNA-EC125". The record is from RNAcentral. Lineage: Eukaryota; Metazoa; Chordata; Mammalia; Rodentia; Muridae.